GCAGCAAGAUGAGUGUCUGAUCUGAUAUUUACCAACCUUCAUCAGUACGAUUGUUCAGAAAGUUUAGGUAGCUGCUGGUGGCUUGGCUUUCUUUGUUCUCACAGAAGAGGGCAAAACAUUUUCAAAGAUUUUCUUUUUUCCAGCCGAGCUUUUCCCUCUUCUGAGGCAGUAAAUAGCACCAUCUUGUGUACUGUGUCCUGACACAGCCUGGCCGUCAAAUGGGCUCCUACAGGAAGAGAGGAUUGUGUGACUAGGGAGCUGCUAUCACACAGGUUUGUUAAGCUCUAAGCCAGGGGUCAGGGAACUUUUUUACCUUUUACCCCCCCCCAAAAAAAAAUUUAUAUACGCCGACAUUACUGCCCUGAUUUGAAAGGAAGGAAACCAUACAUUAUUUGAAUUAAAAAUAUUAUUGAAACUACACAGGCUGUGUACCGAACUAGCAGGAU
This 446-nucleotide long non-coding RNA is filed under the name Pogona vitticeps (central bearded dragon). Its description in RNAcentral is "lncRNA (ENSPVIG00000024458.1)". Lineage: Eukaryota; Metazoa; Chordata; Lepidosauria; Squamata; Agamidae. The record is from RNAcentral.